Molecule: transfer RNA, 86 nt
Filed under: Ipomoea nil (Japanese morning glory)
Lineage: Eukaryota; Viridiplantae; Streptophyta; Magnoliopsida; Solanales; Convolvulaceae
Rfam family: tRNA
About the family: Transfer RNA (tRNA) molecules are approximately 80 nucleotides in length.
Source: Rfam by way of RNAcentral
CCGACCUUAGCUCAGUUGGUAGAGCGGAGGACUGUAGUUUGACAACUGAAAUCCUUAGGUCGCUGGUUCGAAUCCGGCAGGUCGGA